CCUCGGAACAGCACUUGCCGUCCAGGAUCAAUCAUUGCGAAGAAUCAACUAAAAUUGGCAGAGCAGAGAGUUGUGUAGCGAAACUUAUAGUUGGACGCCUGGGAAUCCUAUAGUCGGAGGCAGAGAACAAAAACCGGAUUCAUGCAAAAGCAGGCUCAUUCUUCCAAAUUUAGGUGAUUUCGAGCAACAGCACUUGCCGCAUAGGAUCAAUCAUUGCUCCAAAUCAAUUAAAUCUGGAAGAAGAGAGAACUUUUGCUUGAACUUUUUUUUUUCGUAAUCUGAUAACUCGAUUAUAGAGAGCUCCAUAAUAAUAAAAAAAAAAACUUCGUUUUUUUUUCACCCGAUCCGGGAUAAUUGUUACCUAUGUGAUAGGUCACAAUCCAAAUUUGCUUUUUUGUAUUUUUUCUUUUGUUUUUUAUAUAUUUUUUUCUUCUUUUUUGUAAAUAUCCAUACUUUGUUAACAUGUUCAUAGUUUUGUAAAUACUCGUAAAUUUGUAAAUAAUUGUGCUUUCAACCCUAGUUUAAAUAUAAAUAUCUUAAUAUGUAAAUGUAAUCCCUUUCCCCCUAUCCUUCGAUACCAGUUACCCUUAAUAUAACCAAUGAAUUAAUUAAAAAAAAAAAUGAAUUUGUAAAUAAAAAUAAAUUAAAUAUUUGAAUUCAAAUCCCCGUCCUAUAAAACCCUACAUCAUCAUUCCUUCCUUAUGCACUGCAUCAUGGCGCCUUGUACCAACUGUGCGGAAACAAAUCCCUCCCGGGAAAUGUUCCACCCAUGGGUUAUGCUGCAUCAUCCUAAGCGAUAUAAAAAGGAUAUGCAGGCCAAGGCAAAGGAUCUUUUUGGAACUAAAUUCCUAACCGUGUCUCGUGAGUGCAACCGCCGAUCUCUCAUACCAGUGCCGAAAUAGGGGAGUCAUCAUCCAAGUGCGGAAUAAGCAGAACGAAGGCGUCCAGAUCCGGCUUCAGGUGGCCCAGACACGAAGUGACCGACAUCAGAAGACACAGAGGUCGGGUAAGCCCGCAAAACGUUGGAAUCAAGUGAAACUAAAUGUGCACAUCCUUUACUAUCCUAUGAAUUCCCCUCCAAAAUAUAUAAAUUUAUUGUUUAAAAUGUGAAUUUCCAA
Molecule: long non-coding RNA, 1118 nt
Organism: Aedes aegypti (yellow fever mosquito)
Lineage: Eukaryota; Metazoa; Arthropoda; Insecta; Diptera; Culicidae
Exons: 2
Source: RefSeq, a predicted model, not a curated record